AUGUGUCCUCGGCAGAGCUACCAAAGUCACAGUUCAGGCCGCUGGCACUUGGGGACCGGAACCCAUCUCCCUGUGAGGGGGCUCUCUGUAACUCUGACUAGUGUGAACUCCCACCGGGCACAGAGGGAUGGGGGCACGGCCAUCACCGGCACCCCGCGCUACCUGGGAAGGACCACCCCAGAGGGAGCCUCGCUCCGCCGGCCGGGCCGAGGGGCACAGCCCCGGGAGCGGGGGCAGGGGGCGGACACCCACCCGCGGCGGCCCGGCCCGGCCUCGGGCGCUCUGCGGGGCCGGGGCAUGUGCGGCGGCGCGGGCGGCGGGGGAGCGGCGCCCCAGAGCCGCGCCGCGCCGCUUCCUGCCGCUAUAAAUAGCCGCCCGGCCCAACAUGUCCCGGCCGCCGCAGCGGCUGCAGCGCCGGCGGGACCCGCCGUGCCCUCCCGCCGCCUAGCCCGCACGGAGCGCGCAGGGUUUCACUGCUUUUUUACCUGUGUACUACUGAAAGUGUGCAUCUGAGGAAAGGUAUUGGCUAUAGAAGGAGCAGUUUCCCACCUGCGAUAACAGGUAUGACCUUUACAUCUGAUGAUCUCCAGACCCCAAAAAGGCCACUGAGAAGCACAAGCCAUGCUAAUCCCUUUGAGAAGGGAGCAUGCUGCAGUAUUUGUCUCCAAUACCUACACUGCAUAAAGUUCUAACAGCUGUUUAAUUUUCUGCCCUGCUUGUACAAACACCCAGCUGCUUUGUAGGGAGAAAAGAGUGUAUAUUGGUGUUGUCUGACAAUUGUGACCUGACAGGAAGGCAUAGGCUUCCUUUGGAGCACAUAUAUUGUUCAUGGCAUACAUGUACAAUUUAGUAAAAUGUCUUUAUGCAGCAGCUUUGAGAAAUGUUCUGUGCUUUUAACUGCAUUGGAUCUCCAUCUGGUUAAUGGACUUGUGUAUAGAAACCAUAUGAAAUAAUGAUGCAGCAGAAGGGAGGGUUUCUUUAAAGUUUAUGCUUUUACCAUGGUAAACAUAUCUUAAUUAUGGCUUCUUCAUAAUAAUGAAGUGUUAUCAAAAUUCAAAUCUAAUUAAAUAUGUCUGUGAUCUUUCUACUGAUUUCUCUUAUUCUUUACUCCAACACUUUCUCAUUUUCUUCAUGUGAUGCACUCUAACACUUGGUCUGUGGGAUCUGUUAUAAAAAGGGACUGUUUACUGUCUUGGUUCAAAAUCCAUGGUGCUAGCUGCUAUUUGAGUAGGGGUGUGGAGACCCAGUAUAUGGGGAGAUAAUUAAAUUCUGGGAUGGUAGAACAGAUUUUGGUAGUACUAAAGAAGUGGAUACUGUAAGUAGCCACAAAUCUUCAAGGCAGCUGUCUGUCCUGUGUGCAAUUAACACCUACUUGUUUAGCUUCUUACUUCAAAGAGGCAUGUGAAAAUCUGUUACUGAAUAAUAACUGCUGAACUGUUAGUUGGCAAAUAGCCCAGAAAAGGCAUUAUUAAAAAGUAAAUUUAAUAAAGAUGUCUAUAAUCCUGCUUUAGUAGAAGGCUUCGUUUGAAGUAUUUUGUGUGCUUGUGGUGACCAGAAUGAUAGCGUAGUGCUCUCAUGAAGCACCAGAUACAUGUAUGCAAAUAUCUGGGUAUCUGAAGAGGGGGAAGGAGAAGAAGUAACAAACUGUUUACUGUGUUAGUACUCCGUUGUGGUUCUCUGUGAGGACUGUGUCACUGCUGCUGAGCUGAGAGUGAAAUCUGAAUAGUAAAAGGAUUAUUUUUUUCAGUGGCAAUAACCUUGAACAUCAAGGCCCUGAAAAGUACUGGAGUUGCUCCUCAUCCUUGCAGGCACACAAGUCUGCAAGUGCAGCUGUCCUUGGGCCUCGUCCAACACAGUUCACAAAGAUCAGUGAAGAGUGUCUCUAAGGCUGGAGCUGCAAGUGGCGGGGGAGCAGUUUCAUCUAAAACUGAGAGAUCAGAGGAGUUCCGAAUAGAAAGUUUUUCCUAAUUCCUGGAAGGAGAUAAAUGGGAAGCAUGAGUAGUAGUUUGAGAGUCUGUUUUGUAACACUUAACGCAGCCAUAACCUCAUUAGUGUUCUUAAUUUGGAUCCAAUUACACAUAGGUCUGCUUCGGAGUUAAAAUAUAUAGUUCUGUAAUUCCUUAAACUACCAGUGUUAUGGAAGCAAAAGUUUCUACGUUUUAAUGUGUUUAUGUAGCACCCCUGAUCUUUAAUCUCCUCAGUGUGUGUAUGUAUGUAUUUCCCACCAUUUCCUUCUUGGGAUAAAGCCCAUAAUGCGAAGGGCCGUCCAGUCUGCCCAUGCAUGCUUUCCUGAGAGCCCUCCUUCUGUUUGUGCUAAGCUUGAGCACAUAACUCCUGCUGAAGAAACUACAGGAUAUUCUUUAACGGGAAGUAGUACAGAUGUUAAAAUAAAUGGUCUUAGCAGCCUCAGUGAGCCCAAAAUAGCUUCUGCAUGUUUCUCUUAUGAUAAGUUCAGGAAAUGGGGUGAUUCCCUCUUCCUCCCUCUCCGUAAUAUUUUGAAUGCUGAAAUCCUCUUGCCAUGAAGAGCAGGCAGUGUGGAGCAGGCUUCUCUGUAUUUUUCUGGGCCCUGACUUAACAGGGACAGAAGUGAGCCCUAAACAGAAAUUUGCAUUCUUUAGCAUAUUGUCCUACUUCCUACAAAAAUUUCCAAUAAGGUCCUUGGUGGUGAAGGGGGCUAACCACUGAAACUGCUUGUCCAGAGGGAUUGUGGAGUCUCUGUUGUUGGAAAUAGUCUAAAAACUGGAUAAGGCCUGAGCAAUCUGCUUGAAGCCAGGUUAGCGCUGAGCUAGAUGAGAUCCAGCAGUUCCAUUCAGCUGGCUGUGUGCCAUGUUUUUGCAUUUGGGGGAAGCAUGGCUGCCUUUGUCUGUCCCCAAAACCAGUGGGAAUAAAUGUAGUCUUCAAAUAUCUGAAAAUGGCCUUGAGAAUUCUGAAGAAAGACUUCAAAAAUUGAAGUAUGUAGAGAAGCAUAGCGUAAGGAAGUAAUUUUGCCCAAAGUCUCAUAGCAGCAGGUCAGUAAUAGUGCUGGGAGAGAAUCAUAAAUCUCCUGGCUGGCAGACUAGUGCCUUGGUAGCUAAAAGAGUUUGUCUUUACACAUAAAACUACUUCCUUUCCCUACUCAACUAUUUUCAGAUCACUUGGCAACAGAGACUACACUUACCUGCUGAGAGAUAUCUUCUUCUUUUUUUUCUCCCUGCCUUAUCUGUCAUGUUCAUAGGGAGUUUCAGUACUAAAGAAAAAUGUAGUGCAUUGACUUUUUCAAAAACCUAGAAAAUUUUAUCUGGAAAAGAAUUUGGUGAAAUAAAGACAAGAGCUGCAAAGGAAAUUUUUAGAAAGUGAUGUUAUUCCCAGCUAGUUGCACAACAAUUAAUCUCGUAAUUUUUUGUAAGAGCAGAAAAUAGCAGACAAAGCUGUACACUGAAUCCAAGUUUGAACCUCUAUUUGUUUAAAAGAGAAAAAUCACUUGAAAACUCUUAAAAAUCUGGAAGCUGAGAAGAACACAGAUCAGCAUUUUAAAGAGCAUCAUGGAAGGAGUUAAGCUGUGAGUUAACUGCAUCUGUGUUUCAAAUCCAAAUGCUACGAACAAGGCACCAUUCAGAUCUUCAGUUAUAAGUUAUGCUGAAUUCG
Molecule: long non-coding RNA, 3624 nt
Organism: Corvus moneduloides (New Caledonian crow)
Lineage: Eukaryota; Metazoa; Chordata; Aves; Passeriformes; Corvidae
Source: Ensembl